Molecule: ribosomal RNA, 279 nt
Filed under: uncultured bacterium
Lineage: Bacteria
Description: partial 16S ribosomal RNA
Rfam family: Archaeal small subunit ribosomal RNA
Source: RNAcentral
UGCCAGCCGCCGCGGUAAUACCGGCGCCUCAAGUGGUAGUCGCUUUUAUUGGGCCUAAAACGUCCGUAGCCGGUCUGGUACAUUCGUGGGUAAAUCAACUCGCUCAACGAGUUGAAUUCUGCGAGGACGGCCAGACUUGGGACCGGGAGAGGUGUGGGGUACUCUCAGGGUAGGGGUAAAAUCCUGUCAUCCUGAGAGGACCACCUGUUGCGAAGGCUCCACACUAGAACGGAUCCGACGGUCAGGGACGAAGCCUAGGGGCACGAACCGGAUUAGAUA